This 303-nucleotide ribosomal RNA is filed under the name uncultured bacterium. RNAcentral describes it as "bacterial SSU rRNA". It matches the Rfam family "Bacterial small subunit ribosomal RNA", at positions 355 to 676 of the family's 1533-position model. The record is from RNAcentral.
UGGGGAAUUUUGCGCAAUGGGGGAAACCCUGACGCAGCAACGCCGCGUGCGGGACGACGGCCCUCGGGUUGUAAACCGCUUUCAGUGGGGACGAUGGUGACGGUACCCACAGAAGAAGCUCCGGCUAACUACGUGCCAGCAGCCGCGGUAAUACGUAGGGAGCGAGCGUUAUCCGGAUUCAUUGGGCGUAAAGCGCGCGUAGGCGGCUGCCUAAGCGGAACCUCUAAUCCCGGGGCUCAACCUCGGGCCGGGUUCCGAACUGGGCGGCUCGAGUGCGGUAGAGGCAGGCGGAAUUCCCGGUGU